UAAUGGCAGGUCAGCAUACUGCCGUGAAUACGUUCCCGGGCCUUGUACACACCGCCCGUCACACCAUGAGAGUUGGGAAUACCCGAAGCCUGUGAGCUAACGUAAGAGGCAGCAGUCGAAGGUAGAAUCAAUGAUUGGGGUGAAGUCGUAACAAGGUACC
This 160-nucleotide ribosomal RNA is filed under the name uncultured bacterium. Its description in RNAcentral is "partial 16S ribosomal RNA". It matches the Rfam family "Bacterial small subunit ribosomal RNA", at positions 1339 to 1500 of the family's 1533-position model. The record is from RNAcentral.